Molecule: ribosomal RNA, 264 nt
Filed under: uncultured bacterium
Lineage: Bacteria
Description: partial 16S ribosomal RNA
Rfam family: Bacterial small subunit ribosomal RNA
Source: RNAcentral
ACUGAGCGGCGGACGGGUGAGUAACGCGUGGGUAACCUGCCUCAUACAGGGGGAUAACAGUUAGAAAUGACUGCUAAUACCGCAUAAGACCACAGGGCCGCAUGGCCCGGUGGUAAAAACUCCGGUGGUAUGAGAUGGACCCGCGUCUGAUUAGCUGGUUGGUGGGGUAACGGCCUACCAAGGCGACGAUCAGUAGCCGACCUGAGAGGGUGACCGGCCACAUUGGGACUGAGACACGGCCCAAACUCCUACGGAAGGCAGCAG